RNAcentral lists this ribosomal RNA (439 nucleotides) under Vibrio parahaemolyticus. RNAcentral describes it as "partial 23S ribosomal RNA". It matches the Rfam family "Bacterial large subunit ribosomal RNA", at positions 361 to 808 of the family's 2925-position model. Lineage: Bacteria; Pseudomonadati; Pseudomonadota; Gammaproteobacteria; Vibrionales; Vibrionaceae. The record is from RNAcentral.
AGGGUGAUAGUCCCGUAGUUGACGACGUGUGUUCAGUGAAAUCGAGUAGGGCGGGACACGUGAUAUCCUGUCUGAAUAUGGGGGGACCAUCCUCCAAGGCUAAAUACUACUGACUGACCGAUAGUGAACCAGUACCGUGAGGGAAAGGCGAAAAGAACCCCUGUGAGGGGAGUGAAAUAGAACCUGAAACCGUGUACGUACAAGCAGUAGGAGCAGGCUUUGUCCUGUGACUGCGUACCUUUUGUAUAAUGGGUCAGCGACUUAUAUUCAGUGGCAAGGUUAACCAUCUAGGGGAGCCGUAGGGAAACCGAGUCUUAACUGGGCGUUCAGUCUCUGGAUAUAGACCCGAAACCAGGUGAUCUAGCCAUGGGCAGGUUGAAGGUUGAGUAACAUCAACUGGAGGACCGAACCGACUAAUGUUGAAAAAUUAGCGGAUGAC